AAAAAAAUCAAAAAAA
Molecule: small RNA, 16 nt
Filed under: Arabidopsis thaliana (thale cress)
Lineage: Eukaryota; Viridiplantae; Streptophyta; Magnoliopsida; Brassicales; Brassicaceae
Description: ATSL246850
Source: RNAcentral